GGUCAGUUGGCGCUCGCUGUAAGAAUUUGAACGGUUCGCGACUUCGUAUCGGCGAACCCUGGAAGACAUCACCGCGAGAAAAGAAUUAGGGUUUUGCAGAUACCCAGGGAACUCUCCUUCCUCCGUCAAUGGCGUCUGAUCCUCCCCGGACACGGAUCGAUCAGUUUUUUGCUUCAAAAAAGAGGAAAUCUAGAUCUCCUGGUUUGAAGAGUGGGAGAGUUGAGAAAGAUGGAAGAACCACAUCAGAAGGGUCUUCUAGUGCAAAAGGCACUUUGGACAAUUACUUAGUGAAUUCCCAAGACCCAAACCAUGGUGCCAAGCUUUCAUCCAUGGCUUGUGGAUUGUUGGCCAGGCAAGAUUCUGUCAAGAGAAAUCUGGCACUGGAGAUAAAUAAUAUCUCCAAAGAGGAAAAUAAGGGUCCUUUUUUGGUAGCUAAUAUGGAUUCUCAAACUUCUAAAGGAUUUGAAGCGGUUAAGAGGGAAACAUCUCAAGGUUCGUCAAAUGCAGGCAAUGUUGCAUUUGAAGGCCUUGCUAAAGGUUUCCCAGUUUCGAACCACAGUGCAGAAAACUUGGAAAUAAAACAGUUUGCAAAUGACUUUCUGUCUUUGUACUGUGAACUCCAGUCAACUGCAACAUCUCCGUCUAAGCCCAAGUUGAAUGACAAUAAGAGAAAUGUUAGUCAACUGUUGAAUGAUGAAGGUAAAACAUUGAAUAAGAGGCAUUGCAUAAGCAUAGUGUCACAUUCAGGAGGUGAAACUGUGAAGUCUAUGGACAACAAGACAGAAAACAAACAGUCUGCUUUUACUGAAAAAGCUGAAACGCCUUUUACCAAUGCAUCUUGGGGGAUCACUUUUGGCAAUGAUCCCUCUCAGCUUGCAGCAAGCUUGAGAAAAUGCACAAGAGCGUCUAAAUCAAUUCAUGAAAUGACUGAAUGCUGUACACCUGGUUCAUCAAUUGUACGAGCAAGUGUUAGUGAAACCCCCAUGUCAAUGCGUGGAAGCUCCAUGUUUUCACCAGGAGAAGCAUUCUGGAAUGAGGCAAUUCAAAUUGUUGAUGGUUUAUUUGCUGAUGCUGGUAAUCCUCUUGCCUUGGCUGCUGAAGAUGUUAUCAAUGGAAGUUGUUGUGACAAGGCAAGGCAAAUUUUGGAUGAAGCAAGCAGCAGAGGUCAGCAGAUGCAAAAUGGUGGUUUUCUUGAGUUAAAUAGGACACAUAUGAGCGAUUCAACUAAAGUGUCUCCCUUGCCUGUCAAACAUCUUGACUUUUUGUUUGAUGACAAGAACUUGGAUGCAACUUCCCCUUGCUGUGCUAGUGAUAAUUCAAAUGUGCACAAGGGUUUUGAGCAAUCUGAACGUGGUUCUGUAAAUGUCAAAAGCUCACGAACUGUUAAAAUAGCAACUUAUAAUGAGGCUGAAACAAAACAAGAGAUGCGUGGAGUAGAUGGGAUUGUGUCUGUUCAUGCAGUGACUAAAAGUGAAGCAUAUUUGUCAAAUCAAGACACUGGCAGCAUAACAUCAAAUUCACCAGUUCAAGAAGUCGGGGUUUCUGUUGCUAAUAAUGGUUAUGGUGAUGCGGGUACUCCUUCAAGUUUUGUGCUGCUCAAAGACCAAUUAGAUCUUGGCAGUUGGCUUCCUUCCGAAGUAUGCAGCAUAUACAAAAAGAGAGGAAUUUCAAAACUGUACGCUUGGCAGGUUGACUGUCUUCAGGUGGAAGGAGUUUUACAGAGAAGGAAUCUGGUGUACUGUGCAUCUACAAGUGCUGGUAAAAGUUUUGUUGCAGAAAUUUUGAUGCUGAGGCGGGUCAUACUUACCAGCAAAAUUGCACUUCUUGUGCUUCCUUAUGUAUCAAUUUGUGCAGAAAAGGCCGAACAUUUGGAGGGCCUUUUGGAACCACUUGGCAAGCAUGUUCGGAGUUAUUACGGAAGCCAAGGUGGCGGAACACUUCCUAAAGAUACUUCUGUAGCUGUCUGCACAAUAGAGAAAGCGAACUCUUUAAUUAACAGAUUGCUGGAAGAGGGCCGUUUAUCAGAAAUUGGAAUCAUUGUGAUAGAUGAACUGCACAUGGUUGGUGAUCAGAGUAGGGGUUAUCUUUUGGAACUUAUGUUGACAAAGCUUCGGUAUGCUGCUGGUGAAGGCAAUUCAGAAUCUAGCAGUGGGGAAAGCUCAGGUACAAGCAGUAAGGGUGAUCCUGCUCACGGUAUGCAAAUUGUUGGCAUGAGCGCAACCAUGCCAAAUGUGGCAGCAGUUGCUGAUUGGCUUCAAGCAGCAUUAUACCAGACAGAUUUCCGACCUGUUCCACUAGAGGAAUUUAUUAAAGUUGGCAACACAAUUUAUGACAAGAAAAUGGAUAUCGUCAGAACAAUUCCAAAAGCAGCUGAUCUUGGUGGUAAAGAUCCAGAUCAUAUUGUGGAACUGUGCAAUGAGGUUGUUCAAGAGGGUCAUUCAGUGUUAAUAUUUUGCUCAAGUCGAAAAGGAUGUGAAUCAACUGCCAAGCACAUUUCCAAAUUCCUGAAGAAGUUUACCGUUAACAUUCAGAAUGAUAGUGAAUUUCUAGAUAUUUCUUCAGCAAUUGAUGCAUUAAGAAGAUGCCCUGUGGGGUUGGAUCCUACAUUAGAAGAGACUCUUCCUUCUGGUGUUGCUUAUCAUCAUGCUGGCCUCACUGUUGAAGAAAGAGAAAUUAUAGAAAGUUGCUAUCGCAGGGGCCUUUUACGUGUCUUAACUGCUACAUCUACUUUAGCUGCUGGGGUUAACCUUCCUGCUAGGAGGGUCAUUUUUCGACAACCUAGGAUAGGUCGUGAUUUUAUUGAUGGGACAAGGUACAGACAGAUGGCUGGCCGGGCUGGUCGGACUGGGAUUGACACUAAAGGGGAAAGUAUACUUAUUUGCAAACCAGAAGAACUCAAAAGAAUUAUGGGACUGCUUAAUGAAAGCUGUCCACCUUUGCAGUCUUGUCUCUCUGAAGAUAAAAAUGGAAUGACUCAUGCAAUUUUAGAAGUUGUGGCUGGUGGAAUUGUUCAAACUGCUAAUGAUAUUCAUCGAUAUGUUAGAUGUACUCUUUUGAAUUCUACAAAACCAUUCAGAGAUGUUGUGAAAUCAGCACAGGAUUCUCUUCGGUGGUUGUGCCACAGAAAAUUUCUCGAAUGGUGUGAAGAUACGAAGUUAUAUAGCACCACAUCACUUGGACGUGCAGCUUUUGGUAGUUCUUUUUGUCCCGAAGAAUCACUGAUUGUGCUAGAUGACCUUUCUAGAGCAAGAGAAGGAUUUGUGCUUGCAUCUGAUUUGCAUCUAGUGUACUUAGUCACACCAAUCAAUGUUGAAGUUGAACCAGAUUGGGAAUUGUAUUAUGAAAGGUUCAUGGAGUUGUCUUCUCUUGAUAAGUCUGUUGGAAAUCGAGUUGGAGUUUUGGAACCAUUUUUGAUGCGUAUGGCACAUGGAGCACCUAUGCGCACACUGAACAAGUCGACCAAGAAUAUGAAAGAGUUGCAUGGAAAGUUAGAAACUCGUCAUAGGAAUUCAAACAACAAUAUGAUUUCAGAGGAGCAAUCACUUCGAGUGUGCAAACGAUUUUAUGUUGCUCUUAUCCUAUCAAGACUAGUGCAGGAAACACCUGUGGCUGAGGUUUGUGAAGCUUUUAAGGUUUCUAGAGGCAUGGUUCAAGCUUUACAAGAAAAUUCUGGAAGGUUUGCAUCUAUGGUUUCUUUGUUUUGUGAGAGACUUGGAUGGCAUGAUUUGGAAGGCUUGGUUGCCAAGUUCCAAAAUCGUGUUUCAUUCGGGGUGAGAGCAGAGAUUGUGGAGCUUACCACUAUUCCAUAUGUUAAGGGUUCUCGAGCAAGAUCAUUGUAUAAAGCAGGCUUGCGUACGCCUCUCGCUAUUGCUGAAGCAUCUGUUUCUGAAAUAGUUAAAGCUCUUUUUGAAUCCACAUCAUGGGCUGCUCAAGAGGGUUCAGCACAGAGGCGCAUGCAAUUGGGUGUUGCAAAGAAAAUUAAGAAUGGCGCUCGGAAAAUUGUCCUUGAUAAAGCUGAAGAGGCAAGGGCUGCUGCUUUCUCAGCUUUUAAAUCUCUUGGGCUGAAUGUCCCACAGUUUUCUCAACCGUCAUUAACGAAAGCUUGUAUAAAUGUUGUUGAACAAGUUGAUGCAAGUAAAUUAUCUGGAGAAGACACCACUAAUGUAAUUCUUUGUUUAGAACAAAGAGACCAUGCUUCAUCUGACCUGUGCAUAGAAGGUAGCAAGAAUUCUGCUAAAGUUACUUUGGGAAGUGGAGAAAAGUUAAUGAAAACAAUAGAUGUUGGCUUAGUGGCUCCAGCAGAAGUGAACUCAGCUGGUCUGGUGGAACAGAAUUGUGGUGCUGCAAAUUCUACAUUACCUGUUGAAAAGUCUUUGACCCUUGGUACUGAGCUGCAUACAACUAGUAAUCAAAACUCAAAUGCUAUUAUGGUCCUAUCUGUAAAGCCAGGGCAAGAUGGUGAUGGUGCUGGGAUAAAUGACAGGAGUAUUCAUUAUGAGGUACAGGAUCAGUGUAGUAGAGAGAAUUUAUGUGGUGACAACAUGGAUAGUACUUGUGAGAAGAGCCCAAUUAAUGCAAGUAAUACUCCGGGUGGAUUUGAUUCUUUCUUGGCCCUCUGGGACAAUGCCCAAGAAUUCUAUUUUGACCUCCAUUACAAUAAAAGAUCAGAAGUAAAUUCCAUCACACCCUUUGAAAUACAUGGUAUGGCCAUCUGUUGGGAAAACUCUCCUGUGUACUAUGUCAAUCUUCCUAAAGAUCUAGUAUGGUCUGAGAAUCAUAAGAAUGUUCUACCCCAUGAGAAUUGGUUAGAGAUGGUUAGGCAUAGGUGGAAUCGUAUUGGUGAAAUAAUGGGGAAGAAGGAGGUCAAAAAAUUCACUUGGAAUCUGAAAAUUCAGAUUCAGGUGCUCAAGAAAGCUGCAGUUUCCAUUCAGAGAUUUGGCAGCCCAAAUCUUUCAGGGAAAAGUUUGGAUAUUGAACUCUUAGACAAUUCACACUUCUUGUUGUCCCCAGUUAAUAUUAAAGAAGGAAUUGACAUGUGCGUUGUGGCAUGGAUUCUUUGGCCUGAUGAGGAGAGAAGCUCUAAUCCAAACUUGGAGAAGGAAGUCAAGAAAAGGUUACCUAGUGAGGCUGUUGCAGCUGCUAAUCGGAAGGGAAGGUGGAAGAAUCAGAUGCGUAGAGCUGCUCAUAAUGGUUGCUGUCGUCGGGUUGCUCAAACACGAGCUUUAUGUUCUGUUCUUUGGAAGUUACUUAUUUCUGAGGGACUUUUUGAACCUCUUAACGACAUUGAGAUUCCAUUGGUUAACGUUCUUGCGGAAAUGGAGCUUUGGGGGAUUGGUGUUGACAUGGAAGGAUGCCUUCAAGCUCGUAAAGUUCUAGGGAAAAAGUUAAGGCAUCUUGAGCAGAAGGCCUAUGAACUGGCUGGCAUGACAUUCUCAUUGUAUACAGCAGCAGAUGUUGCAAAUGUGCUGUAUGAACACUUGAAGCUGCCCAUACCAGAAGGGGGUAAAGGGAAACAACAUCCAAGCACUGACAAACAUUGUUUGGAUUUGUUAAGAAAUGAGCAUCCUAUUAUUCCAGUCAUAAGAGAGCACCGGACAUUGGCAAAGCUUUUAAACUGUACAUUGGGUUCAAUUUGUUCACUGGCUAGGAUAUCCAUGAGGACACAAAAGCACACACUGCAUGGCCAUUGGCUCCAGACGUCUACAUCAACCGGACGACUUUCAAUGGAAGAACCUAAUCUUCAGUGUGUUGAGCAUAUGGUUGAAUUCAGAAUGAGUAUGGAUGAAAAUGGACGUGUUGAUGAUGGCAAUCAUUAUAAAAUAAAUGCUCGUGACUUCUUUGUUCCUACUCAGGACAAUUGGUUGCUGUUAACAGCAGAUUAUUCUCAGAUAGAAUUGCGCCUGAUGGCACACUUCUCUAAAGAUGCCUCAUUAAUUGAACUCCUCAGUAAUCCGUGUGGUGAUGUUUUCACCAUGAUGGCGGCGAGAUGGACUGGGAAGCCAGAAGAUUCUGUCGCAUCAGAUGAGAGAGAUCAGACCAAAAGGUUGGUAUACGGCAUUCUUUAUGGAAUGGGUGCCAACACUCUUGCAGAGCAACUGAAUUGCAGUUCAGAAGAAGCUGCAGAAAAAAUUAAAAGCUUCAAAGGUUCUUUUCCUGGUGUUGCUUCGUGGCUCCAUGAAGCAGUUGACUCCUGCCGUAAAAAUGGUUAUGUGGAGACCCUCAAGGGAAGAAAGCGGUUCCUGUCAAAAAUAAAAUUUGGAAACAGUAAAGAAAAAUCAAAGGCUCAGAGACAAGCAGUUAAUUCUAUCUGUCAGGGAUCUGCUGCUGAUAUAAUUAAGAUUGCAAUGAUAAAUAUAUACUCUGUAAUUGUCAGAGUUGAUGGCCCAGAUUCUAGCUCUUCACUUGCAACUAAGUUUCACAUGCUGAAGGGGCAGUGCCGAAUUCUUUUGCAGGUACAUGAUGAAUUAGUCUUGGAAAUUGACUCCCGAGUGACCAAGGAGGCUGCAUCAUUGUUAAAAAUUAGUAUGGAAAAUGCUGCGUCUCUUCUUGUUCCUUUGCAAGUCAAACUGAAAGUUGGAAGAACAUGGGGUUCCUUGGAGCCUUACGAGGUUGAUCAAUGUAAAAAUGAAGUUCUUGUGCUUGAUUCUUAAGGACGGGAGAUAGCUCUUGGUUGAUAUUAGGUGGUGAAGAUUGAUGGCAAUUUGAACCAGUGGAUGCCAGCUUAUAUGCUCAGGUUAGGCAAUGCAUUUGUCAAGGAAGGGGGCUUCUAGUUGGGAACCCAAACAGCGUGGUCCUGAGGAAGGAAAUGGCAAACAGGAACUGUUCCUGGCUUAACUUUGAGCACCUGGAAAGCCAAAUGCUUUGGGUUCCAAGCUGAUGUAUCUGUAUGGCAGACUGCUACUGCUUGAGCCUUUUUUUUCUAUCAGGAAACUCUAAGGAAACCAUGUAAGCUCUCGUGGUUUGUGUUGAAUGGCAAUAAAAGACAGCACAUGCAUAGUUCUGCCCAUCUUCCUUGCUCCAGGUGUAAUUGUAUAUUUCUGCGACUGAGUUUGAUUUUCCACCUCCUUGGAGAUUGCCUGGACAUUCUUUCCAAGUACAGAAGUGCUGAAGUCAAUCAUCGACUCUAGCGAAGUUGCGCAAUAUUUCACCUCUCCUUUAAUACCAGGUUCUUCACACUCUCUGAUUGUAUUCUUUAUUAUCUCGGCUUCCAUUGAUCCUUCUUUUACUGAAAACUGGUUAUAAAUCUCUGGCAACUUGUCAGAUGAAAAAGGUAUCGAAUUGGCAGUUUGACGUGAUAUGAAGGUUGCCUUAUUUGGGUUUUCAGCAAAGUUCAAGUUCAUUGUUUUGCUGGGAUACAUGUCCUUUUCCAAGAAAAAAAGAGCCACAUUUGGGUCAUCAUGGAGUUGAUUUUCAGUAGCGGCAUAAUGGUAGAUGAAUGGGCCAUAUUUAGGUUUUACUCCAACAUACACGGGCUUUCCCUUGUGUCCAGUGUUUACAUUUGCUCCACCAUUCCCAACGUUAACAGAAGUGCCGCCAGGUUUUCCUUUCCCUGUAUUAACAUUUACACCUCCCUUUCCUACACGGACAGAAGUGCUUUUCUUGUCCAUGAAGUCUGCAAUUUAGCUGCGUUAGUUGUAAUUAAGAUCUUAGAAAGGAAAGGCUGAUCAAAAUCUCUGUACUCAAUAAGACAAAAAAAAUAAUGUGUUGUCCGUGUAAGCUACAGAUAUGCACCAUCACCUUAACAGAAUACUUCGUGAAUCUUUUAGAAAUCAAAGUAACAACAGAGAAUUAAGUUGAACAGUGCAGCAAACUUCAUAGAAAUUCUAUUUCUGUUGAAAUUAUGUAAAGAGUAGCUGAGGUCUUGAGUACUGACCUGGCUGUAGAAGAUCUUUCACAGCUUUUGGCAUUGGAGUGUUGGGCAGAACAGAAUUCCAGUAUUGCUCGGGAGGUAAAGUAGCCAGGCUUGUCACUAGCGCAAUCUGCAGCAGUAGGUAAGUAUAUAUGAAAAACUUCCUUAAAAUACUAUUUAUAUGAUAAUAAAUGGAAAUAUAUAUACUAUAAAAACAGAUUUAGGAAACGAGAAAUCUUUUCUAAUAAAACUAGUGCAAGAUUCAGAGCUUACAGCGAGAAAAACAAGUAUGUGUGGAAGAUGAAACUCCAUUUGAACUUUGAACAUGAAACAGAAAACAAGGCAAUUAUAGUGAAAGAAAACAACUGAAGUAUUAGAUUUACAAGGAAGAAAGAGCCAGUUGUAACAUAUAUAGAGAUUUUGUCCACAGGAGUACUGCAACUUGAAUAGCAACACAUCACCCGCAUUAUCAACCGGCUUAAUUGCUUCAACUGUCCCUGGUUCACUCACUUAAUGCAAUUGGCAUCGAGUGGGACAGGUGUAAUAGGAACAAGAAUUGAUGUGCUAGUGUGGUAAAUAGAAACUAUAUAUAUAUCCCUAAUCAGUAAUGGAUUUCAAGUUUCAAUUUGAUUUUUAAAAACUUUCCUCUCUGCAUAACGUGGAACCAGAAUGGCUCCUUAUGUCCUG
This 8536-nucleotide unclassified non-coding RNA is filed under the name Hevea brasiliensis (rubber tree). The record is from RNAcentral. Lineage: Eukaryota; Viridiplantae; Streptophyta; Magnoliopsida; Malpighiales; Euphorbiaceae.